AGGACUAUACUUUCAGGGAUCAUUUCUAUAGUUCGUUACUAGAGAAGUUUCUCUGAUUGUGUAGAAUCUCAGUUACCUCUCAGUUUGCAGCAGAGG
Molecule: small nucleolar RNA, 96 nt
Filed under: Cervus elaphus hippelaphus
Lineage: Eukaryota; Metazoa; Chordata; Mammalia; Artiodactyla; Cervidae
Also listed under: 1 other name
Description: Small nucleolar RNA U3
Rfam family: Small nucleolar RNA U3
About the family: Small nucleolar RNAs (snoRNAs) are involved in the processing and modification of rRNA in the nucleolus.
Source: Rfam by way of RNAcentral